Molecule: ribosomal RNA, 772 nt
Filed under: uncultured Neocallimastigales
Lineage: Eukaryota; Fungi; Neocallimastigomycota; Neocallimastigomycetes; Neocallimastigales
Description: partial large subunit ribosomal RNA
Rfam family: Eukaryotic large subunit ribosomal RNA
Source: RNAcentral
UCAGACGAUGCGUCAUGCAUAUCAAUAAGCGGAGGAAAAGAAACUAACAAGGAUUCCCUCAGUAACGGCGAGUGAAGCGGGAAGAGCUCAAAUUUGAAAUCUUGAAAGGUCACCUUUCACGAAUUGUAGUUUAAAGAAGUGUUUUCUGUUACGAUCGUAAUAUAAGUUCUUUGGAAUAGGACAUCACAGAGGGUGAGAAUCCCGUCUAUGAUUGCGAUUUGUAGCUUUGUGAUACACUUUCAAAGAGUCGGGUUGUUUGGGAAUGCAGCCCAAAACGGGAGGUAAAUUUCUUCUAAGGCUAAAUAUUGGCGAGAGACCGAUAGCGAACAAGUACCGUGAGGGAAAGAUGAAAAGAACUUUGAAAAGAGAGUUAAAUAGUACGUGAAAUUGUCAAAAGGGAAGCGUUUAACACCAGUGUUGUUUUCUGAAAAUCAACCUCUGUUAGCUUUAUGCAUGUUUGUUUAGACCUAAUCAGCUAUCUUGCAUGUUCUAUUGUUUGCAGUGGUGCACUUUUCAGUUUACAGGUCAACAUCAGUUUUUUUUUACCGUAAAAAAGUUAAAGAAAGGUAGCUCAUGGCUCCGGUCGUGAGUGUUAUAGUCUUUUUCCUAUGCGGUAGGAGAGACUGAGGUCUGCAGUGUAGGCUAUUUGGCUAGAUACUCAGGUGCUAUGUGAUACCAUUUCAUAAACAACUUGUUGAUUAUGUUUUGUCUAUUGCAUACUCGCUUGUACUAUCAUACCUACGCUUAGGAUGUUGACUGAUAUGUAGUCGUA